This is a long non-coding RNA of Aethalodelphis obliquidens (Pacific white-sided dolphin), 1063 nucleotides long. RefSeq lists it as uncharacterized. The record is from RefSeq and is a predicted model, not a curated record. Lineage: Eukaryota; Metazoa; Chordata; Mammalia; Artiodactyla; Delphinidae. The transcript is spliced from 4 exons.
GAUCUUAGUUCCCUGACCAGGGAUUGAACCCGUGCCCCCUGCAUUGGGAGCAUGGAGUCUUAACCACUGGACCACCAGGGAAGUCCCUAAAGCGGCUCUUUUAAGUCACUAACUGCAGCAAUAAUUUGUUAUGCAACAAUCGGAUGAUCAAUUGCUUAGAGUUAGCAAAAUAUUGGACCUGUUUCUACACCCAACAACUAGAACUUGAGGUUUUCCUGAUUCCUCAAAUCAGGAAAGUAACUUUCUCUUAGCUCACCAGAGGCUAUUCACCCAGAAAUAAAACCACCGGUAAAUGCUUGUUGCUGCUCUCCAAGGCAGUGGAAGAACUGUCACCCCAGGACAUGCUGACUCAAUUAAACCUGGGAGUAACCCCUGGGGGAAUUCUGGGUGAACCAGAAUCCCUGGUCUGGAUUCAUGCUACUCUAAGUGAGCUUUAUGAACCUACAGUAGCUAACGCCCUGGGAGCUCAUCAGAAAUGGGACUCUUAGGUCCCACCAGACCUACUGAACCCAAAUCUGCACCUGAACAAGAUCUUGCAGGGAUCUGUACACACAUUGACACUUGACAAGCACUUGUGUGUACCAGGCCCUUCAUGACAACUUUCGGAAAGAAGCAGCUUGCUCACAGCUCAGAUCUUACAAAGACUUAAAAAGCCCUCUUCCCACUGAUGCUGAGACCUCCAUCACCUCAGGGGAAAGCAGAGGCAGCUGAGGAUACAGGAGACUGUGUUCAGCUUUUGACUUCUCAAACAAGCUCUUCUGAAGGCUCAUUUCCAAAAGAAUAGUUAUGAAAGCAGGCUUGUGGAUGCACUCAGCGGUUCGUGUGUUAACCAACGAGAGUCAAAACCAUCCAAAGACGGAAUGGGCUGCCUUGGGAGAGAGGAAGCUCCCCCUCAUGGGAGACGUGCAAGCAUCGGUUCUACCUGGAUCUGGCAGUGAUGCCAAAGAGGAGGUAGACAACUGGAAACUCUGGCGUGAGUGUCCACGGAGCAUCUCUGAUGACUUCAUCCACAUAGCGACAGUGUCUCAGCGCUUCGUAUCUCUCUGCUUCAUUCAUCACGGUG